CUACUUGGUCGCUAAUGGAAUAUUAAAGAAUAAUAGAUCUGACAAUUCUAUUGAAACUCUACAAAAGAACCUUUUAAAAUUAACAAACGAAGGCCAAAACUCUUUUUUUUAACUUAUAAAAGAGAGAACUUCGAAUUAGACGGCCGAUUUGCUUAACAAGCUGCUCUAUUUGUUAGUUAUGCCUGCGUCAACAAGAAAUUAUCUUUUUAUGUUAUGUGAAUCUUGUUCAGGCGGUUUGAAAAAAAAGAAACUGGAAAGAAUCGCAUUUCCUUACUACUAUAUACGAGGGCCACCAAUUAUUACAAGGACCUUACUACUUUCUAGUUUAUCGUUUGACCCUUCAUUCUUACUU
This 352-nucleotide long non-coding RNA is filed under the name Gossypium barbadense (sea-island cotton). RNAcentral describes it as "long non-coding RNA (GBAR_LNC012691)". The record is from RNAcentral. Lineage: Eukaryota; Viridiplantae; Streptophyta; Magnoliopsida; Malvales; Malvaceae.